GAUAUUGGACAAUGGGCGAGAGCCUGAUCCAGCCAUGCCGCGUGGAUGAUGACUGACCUAGGGUUGUAACGUCCUUUCGACGGGGAAGAUAAUGACGGUACCCGUAGGAGAAGCACCGGCUAACUUCGGGCCAGCAGCCGCAGUAAUACGAAGGGGGCUAGCGUUGCUCGGAAUCCCUGGGCGUAAAGCGCACGUAGGCGGCUUUUUAAGCAAGGGGUGAAAUCCUGGAGCUCAACUCCAGAACUGCCUUUGAUACUGGAGAGCUUGAGUUCGGGAGAGGUGAGUGGAACUGCGAGUGUAGAGGUGAAAUUCGUAGAUAUUCGCAAGAACACCAGUGGCGAAGGCGGCUCACUGGCCCGAUACUGACGCUGAGGUGCGAAAGCGUGGGGAGCAAACAGG
RNAcentral lists this ribosomal RNA (399 nucleotides) under uncultured bacterium. Its description in RNAcentral is "partial 16S ribosomal RNA". It matches the Rfam family "Bacterial small subunit ribosomal RNA", at positions 359 to 776 of the family's 1533-position model. The record is from RNAcentral.